RNAcentral lists this ribosomal RNA (417 nucleotides) under uncultured microorganism. RNAcentral's name for it is "bacterial SSU rRNA". It matches the Rfam family "Bacterial small subunit ribosomal RNA", at positions 9 to 429 of the family's 1533-position model. The record is from RNAcentral.
GAGUUUGAUCCUGGCUCAGGAUGAACGCUGGCGGCGUGCUUAACACAUGCAAGUCGAACGAUGAUCCCAGCUUGCUGGGGGAUUAGUGGCGAACGGGUGAGUAACACGUGAGUAACCUGCCCUUGACUCUGGGGAUAAGCCUGGGAAACUGGGUCUAAUACCGGAUAUGACCUUCCAUCGCAUGGUGGUUGGUGGAAAGCUUUUGUGGUUUUGGAUGGACUCGCGGCCUAUCAGCUUGUUGGUGAGGUAAUGGCUUACCAAGGCGACGACGGGUAGCCGGCCUGAGAGGGUGACCGGCCACACUGGGACUGAGACACGGCCCAGACUCCUACGGGAGGCAGCAGUGGGGAAUAUUGCACAAUGGGCGCAAGCCUGAUGCAGCGACGCCGCGUGAGGGAUGACGGCCUCGGUUGUAAC